UGGAAGGGUUGUAUUUAUUAGAUAAAGGACCAAUUUAAUUUGGUGAUUCAUAAUAACUUUACGGAUCACAUUUAUAUGUGACAUAUCAUUCAAGUUUCUGACCUAUCAGCUUUAGACGGUAGGGUAUUGGCCUACCGUGGCAAUGACGGGUAACGGGGAAUUAGGGUUCGAUUCCGGAGAGGGAGCCUGAGAAACGGCUACCACAUCUAAGGAAGGCAGCAGGCGCGCAAACUACCCAAUCCUAAUACAGGGAGGUAGUGACAAGAAAUAACAAUACAGGACUCUAAAUAGUUUUGUAAUUGGAAUGAGUUAAGUAUAAACCCCUUUACAAGUAUCAAUUGGAGGGCAAGUCUGGUGCCAGCAGCCGCGGUAAUUCCAGCUCCAAUAGCGUAUAUUAAAGUUGUUGCAGUUAAAAAGCUCGUAGUUGGAUUUCUGUUAAUAAUUUAUAUACAAUAUUUCCUAGUAUUUAUAUAAUAUUAACAUAAUUCAUAUUGCUAAUUUUAUUAGUAUAUGAAAUUUUACUUUGAGAAAAUUAGAGUGCUUAAAGCAGGCAUUUGCCUUGAAUACUCCAGCAUGGAAUAAUAUAGAAGAUUUUUAUCCCUUUUAUUGGUUCUAAGAUAAAAAUAAUGAUUAAUAGGGACAGUUGGGGGCAUUUGUAUUUAACAGUUAGAGGUGAAAUUCUUAGAUUUGUUAAAGACAAACUAGUGCGAAAGCAUUUGCCAAGGAUGUUUUCAUUAAUCAAGAACGAAAGUUAGGGGAUCGAAGACGAUCAGAUACCGUCGUAGUCUUAACCAUAAACUAUGCCAACUAGAGAUUGGAGGUUGUUCCUUACUCCUU
RNAcentral lists this ribosomal RNA (837 nucleotides) under Cryptosporidium sp. RNAcentral describes it as "SSU rRNA". It matches the Rfam family "Eukaryotic small subunit ribosomal RNA", at positions 193 to 1080 of the family's 1831-position model. The record is from RNAcentral. Lineage: Eukaryota; Apicomplexa; Conoidasida; Eucoccidiorida; Cryptosporidiidae.